CGUGCCUAACACAUGCAAGUCGAGCGAGGAGAUUCCUUCGGGAUGAUCCUAGCGGCGGACGGGUGAGUAACACGUGGGCAACCUGCCUCAUAGAGAGGAAUAGCCUUCCGAAAGGGAGAUUAAUACCUCAUAACAUUGCAGUUUCGCAUGGAACAGCAAUUAAAGGAGUAAUCCGCUAUGAGAUGGGCCCGCGGCGCAUUAGCUAGUUGGUGAGGUAACGGCUCACCAAGGCGACGAUGCGUAGCCGACCUGAGAGGGUGAUCGGCCACAUUGGGACUGAGACACGGCCCAGACUCCUACGGGAGGCAGCAGUGGGGAAUAUUGCACAAUGGGGGAAACCCUGAUGCCAGCAACGCCGCGUGAGUGAUGACGGCCUUCGGGUUGUAAAGCUCUGUCUUCAGGGACGAUAAUGACGGUACCUGAGGAGGAAGCCACGGCUAACUACGUGCCAGCCGCCGC
This 459-nucleotide ribosomal RNA is filed under the name uncultured bacterium. Its description in RNAcentral is "bacterial SSU rRNA". It matches the Rfam family "Bacterial small subunit ribosomal RNA", at positions 43 to 518 of the family's 1533-position model. The record is from RNAcentral.